AUGGGACCGAUGUGCUUCGGAGGUCCCUAUGACCGCGGCGGGACAUCCAAGAAGAACGAUAAGACGAGGUCGCCUUCACCCAAAGAAGAGGCCCUCUUCUAUAGUAAUGUUGCUUUAGUAGGAGAAGGUGCAAUAACUGUCCAUUCUUUUUUCCAGAAAUUAGACGAAGACCUGUGCAGAUUAGUUCAAGAGUUAUUUUCCUUGAUUUUCACACUGGUAUUAACGGGUAAUACAUUACAUAAUCCUAUUAAGACCGAUCAUGCAUGCUUCUAUUUUAAUGUGUUCUUUUUUCAGCAAGCAUCAUCAGCCGUUCACCACGGAGGAACUGUUCUCCAUGGGAGACAAAUAUUUGAAUGCGUUCGAAGAUGCUUGCUGAAGAAACGAGGUCCAUCAGGAGUUCAGGGUCAAAGAGACAAAUGCUGGUUGAUGGAACCGAUGCGCUUCGGAGGUCCCUAUGACAGCGGCGGGGCAUCCAAGAAGAAAGAUAAGACGAGUUCGUCUUCACCCGAAGAAGAGACCCUCUUUUGUAGUAAUGUUACUUUACUAGGAGAAGGUGCAAUGACCGGCCUUUGCAGAUUAGUUCAAGAGUCACUUCCCCCUAAUUUUGUUUUCACAUGGAUAGGAACAGCAUAA
This 633-nucleotide ribosomal RNA is filed under the name Triticum aestivum (bread wheat). Its description in RNAcentral is "partial small subunit ribosomal RNA". The record is from RNAcentral. Lineage: Eukaryota; Viridiplantae; Streptophyta; Magnoliopsida; Poales; Poaceae.